Molecule: ribosomal RNA, 118 nt
Filed under: Periophthalmus magnuspinnatus
Lineage: Eukaryota; Metazoa; Chordata; Actinopteri; Gobiiformes; Gobiidae
Source: RNAcentral
UACUGUGAUCGUACCUUCUUGUCACAGCCCGAUCUCGUCACAUUUCAGAAGCUAAGCAAGACUGGGCCUGGUUAGUACUUGGAUGGGAAACUGCUGGGAACACCAGGUGCCACAGUUC